UGGGGAAUAUUGGACAAUGGGCGGAGGCCUGAUCCAGCCAUGCCGCGUGUGUGAAGAAGGCCUUUUGGUUGUAAAGCACUUUAAGCGAGGAGGAGGCUACUUGGAUUAAUACUCUAGGAUAGUGGACGUUACUCGCAGAAUAAGCACCGGCUAACUCUGUGCCAGCAGCCGCGGUAAUACAGAGGGUGCGAGCGUUAAUCGGAUUUACUGGGCGUAAAGCGUGCGUAGGCGGCUUCUUAAGUCGGAUGUGAAAUCCCUGAGCUUAACUUAGGAAUUGCAUUCGAUACUGGGAAGCUAGAGUAUGGGAGAGGAUGGUAGAAUUCCAGGUGUAGCGGUGAAAUGCGUAGAGAUCUGGAGGAAUACCGAUGGCGAAGGCAGCCAUCUGGCCUAAUACUGACGCUGAGGUACGAAAGCAUGGGGAGCAAACAGG
This 430-nucleotide ribosomal RNA is filed under the name Bacillota bacterium. RNAcentral's name for it is "Firmicutes bacterium partial 16S ribosomal RNA". It matches the Rfam family "Bacterial small subunit ribosomal RNA", at positions 355 to 776 of the family's 1533-position model. The record is from RNAcentral. Lineage: Bacteria; Bacillati; Bacillota.